GACAGCUGCACCCAGGAGCCAUGUGCUGCAGAACAAGCAACAACCGGCACCAGGAAUAGGCUACGCCUAUCUCAGUGUCCCUGUGUGGCUCUCAGGCACCCAGGGAAUCCUGCCUGCUGAGUAUUCAUACCUGGAUGCCCAGAGCUCUCAGAUAGUAACGUAUCAGUCACCCUUCAAGACCAGAGCAACGGGACCAUUUGCUCUGCAGAGAAACAACUCACCUGCAAGAGGAGCCUGGGAAGUAGAGCCUUGCUUGCCCACAAGGAGAAGAAGUUACUGUCAUCGGAAAAUAUUCCCACAUGUGCUAAAUGCACUCAGCACUCAAGCAAGAAAGGUGAUUCAGAAGGGCUGGUGCUGCGGACAAGAGCAAGUAUGGGAGCAGCCUGUGGCUCCCCUCCUGGGACCCUCCAGAUGAGACCCACCCACUGGAGUUGAGCUUUGAAGGAAUUGACCCUGGUGUGCGUGAGGAAGUACUUCAAUGAUGAUGGCCCUGGCCACUCUUUCGGGAAAACUCUGUCACCUCUCCCUUGACCCCUCCUCACCCGCAAAUCCUCAGGCAAAAGCAGAAGAAUUAAGCAAGCCUUCCACUAGAAGCAACCAUUAACCUAGUUUUCAUUGUCUCCAAACCUGCCUGACUAUAGCAGAUAGGAAUCUGGGUGGUUUUUUGUUUUUCUUUUUUUUUUUUAAAUAAAUCACUUUAAGACUCCUGAA
Molecule: long non-coding RNA, 711 nt
Organism: Canis lupus familiaris (dog)
Lineage: Eukaryota; Metazoa; Chordata; Mammalia; Carnivora; Canidae
Exons: 3
Source: RefSeq, a predicted model, not a curated record